This 203-nucleotide long non-coding RNA is filed under the name Manihot esculenta (cassava). RNAcentral describes it as "long non-coding RNA (MESC_LNC006278)". The record is from RNAcentral. Lineage: Eukaryota; Viridiplantae; Streptophyta; Magnoliopsida; Malpighiales; Euphorbiaceae.
UUAAAAUAUAAGGAGUAAAUUGUAAUUUACUUGUAAGUUUAAUAUGGGUGCAAUUGGCAGCUCAGUACCAUGUUUCCACUCUACCUCUUUGGAUUUGUGUUGUGAAAUGUAAGAUUAUUUUAAACUUUGGUAGGCUGGCAGUACCCAAUCACCUAUGAAACCUUCCCUCAAGAAAUUCAUCAAAGUUCACAUCUUUUGCUUUA